Molecule: ribosomal RNA, 319 nt
Filed under: uncultured Methylobacterium sp.
Lineage: Bacteria; Pseudomonadati; Pseudomonadota; Alphaproteobacteria; Hyphomicrobiales; Methylobacteriaceae
Description: bacterial SSU rRNA
Rfam family: Bacterial small subunit ribosomal RNA
Source: RNAcentral
UUUGAUCCUGGCUCAGAGCGAACGCUGGCGGCAGGCUUAACACAUGCAAGUCGAGCGGGCCCUUCGGGGUCAGCGGCGGACGGGUGAGUAACGCGUGGGAACGUGCCUUCUGGUUCGGAAUAACCCUGGGAAACUAGGGCUAAUACCGGAUACGCCCUUUUGGGGAAAGGUUUACUGCCGGAAGAUCGGCCCGCGUCUGAUUAGCUAGUUGGUGGGGUAACGGCCUACCAAGGCGACGAUCAGUAGCUGGUCUGAGAGGAUGAUCAGCCACACUGGGACUGAGACACGGCCCAGACUCCUACGGGAGGCAGCAGAAGGG